Capsella rubella is the source of this 753-nucleotide long non-coding RNA. RefSeq lists it as uncharacterized. The transcript is spliced from 2 exons. The record is from RefSeq and is a predicted model, not a curated record. Lineage: Eukaryota; Viridiplantae; Streptophyta; Magnoliopsida; Brassicales; Brassicaceae.
CUUUUUUAUUAAUGACCUAAACUUCUGAUUCUUCUCCUCUCUUCGCCGUCAACGAAAUCUCUCCUCCGCCGUCGUCUUCUUUUCUCUCCAUCGCCAUCAAAUCUUCUUUGCUCGCCAUCGCCGUCGUCUCUUCUCACUAUCGCCGCCGUCUCUUCUCACCAUCGCCGUCGUCUCUUCUCUCCAUCUUCUACGUAGUUGUCGUACCUUCCUUCUGUUGCCAACAAAUAGAGUUGUUGUCUUUGCUGUCAUAGGAAGCAAGGGCUUGGAAGAGCUGUAGAAGCAACACUCUGGUUUUGAUAUAAUCAAACUUUGCAUCUAGAAUCAUGAGAUGAUGGCCAUCUUCUAGGAAGCAUGGCCUCAAGGUCCUGAUCUGAUUUUGGAGCUUUGGUAUGUUGAGUUUUCCAUUGAACCACGCUUACAAGGCGAAGAAUGGGAGCUUUCGACCAAGAUUGAAUGGUCUGGUUCUGUCCUCUCCUCAGACUAGUCAUCAUCUACUGGCCCCUUAAUUUAUUAUAUGAUGUUUCUCUUUUGUAACUUAUAUGAGUUUGUUUGGUGGUGAUAUAUAUGAUGGAUUGUAAGUUUGUAACAGUCAAGAGCUAUAGCAGUCAAGACUUGACUUGCAUUGAGGUAAUGCAUUCCAUUUUAAAAUUAAAGUUGUAGUUGCAGAGAACACAAAUCCAUUAGCUUUUGAAUAAUGUUGGAUCCAAGUAUCCAACUCAUGACUGUUGUUUAAUGAUAGGGCUCAAUUUGGUA